This 1010-nucleotide long non-coding RNA is filed under the name Durio zibethinus. RNAcentral's name for it is "long non-coding RNA (DZIB_LNC000433)". Lineage: Eukaryota; Viridiplantae; Streptophyta; Magnoliopsida; Malvales; Malvaceae. The record is from RNAcentral.
AAAAUAAUAGAUUUAUGUUACUUGUAGUUAAAUUUUAGCAAUUUAUCAGACUUUUUAAGGCAUUUAUGAUGAAUAUUUGCUUGUUUCUUGGGAAAAUAUGACAAAAAUACUCCUAAUUGUUUAAAUAUUCAAUGCAUAGGUAAAAAUAUAAAAAAAGAGGAAAAAUGUUGUCUUUGAGGCAUUUUGGUGCAAAAAUCACCAUUUGGGCGAACCUAGUAUGAAGCUUGUUCAACUGCCGCUUUUGGGAGAAUUUUUUUAACUUAUUUUCAUUACUUCCUUUACAUGUUUGAUCUUAAUUCAAGGGACUGUGUUUAUGUUUAUAAAGAUUUAGAAACAACUCUUUGAGUCGAGAUCUAUCUCCGCUUGAUCGUUGACUGACUUCUCUUCAUCACGAGACUGAUCAGAUCUGCUACCCCCGCUGCUCUAACUGCUGCUUUCAUUAGUGACUUCAUCAUCCCAGACUCUGCACUUUGAUCGGGAAUACUUUUUAAAAUAAAUGCAAUUUCUGCCCAAACGAGGUAAGGUACAUUCAUCCGCUGGCGCACCUCUCCUAACCAUCUUUCUAGCUUUUGGUCAAUGAUCACCCCUUCUGUGUACCACUAGUGCCUGGAUUACAGGUAAUUUUGGUCGCUGAUCCAGCAAUGGCUCUAAACUAUCUUGCCCUUCUUUAUUUAAGAAAUUCUUUCAAUUCAAAGAGGGCAUUCGAGAACAGUAACAUCGGUAAUCAAGUCAAAAAGUCGACGCAGGAUCGGUAAAGCAGUCCCAGAACCUAUGAUUGCAAACGAAGACUUCCUUCUUAUGUCCAUUGGCUUUACAAAGGGAAAAAAAGGUAAACUAAGUCCCUGACUAUGAUUUACAUCUACUAGAGAGAAUCCAAAACAUCUAGAGCAGGACCUAUUCUUUUAAGGAUAAGAGGGGAUUUGAGUUUAAUAGCAGUUCCUUCCUAGAUUGAAAAGCUUAAGCAAGAAAUUACCCCAUACAUAUAGAGUCUCCUAUAGCCUUGACUCUGG